UUUCAUCAUCGCCGAUUCGCUGCAUUAGGUAGAAGUAGGUGGUGUUUCACGCGAUCAAAUUCGCUGACAGCCAAUGAGCAGAGAGUGACACUGCUUGUGGCUGAAACCAUAGAAACUAAACGGAAGUUUACCGUUGCGAGCUACGCUAACAAACAGCUACGAAGAUUUACGAGUACGUUUUUUUUCAUCUACUCGAACGCUUCAAAAGUAGCCUUAAUUCGACAUACAGGCGUAUAUCACAAGCAUACAACUGAUAUUUGCUCUCGUAAAUGCGCUGUUGCGUCUUAAAUCGCAGUUAGCUUGACGGCUAAUGGUACUCAGCCUCGAUACUACAAUGUUCAAAGCUAAAAUACUCCUAAUUGGUCCAAAUGAGAGUGGGAAAUCUGUCCUCGCAAAUUUUCUCUCAGACGCAACAGAAAAUGUUGGAGGCGAAUACAGACCCACUCAGGCAGUCAGAAUACUAGAAUUUGAAACACAAUUGGAUGGUUGCGGUGAGGUAAAAUCAUGCGAGGUUGAGCUCUGGGACUGCUCUGGCGACUUCAAGUUUGAGUCGUGCUGGCCUGCACUCACCAAGGACUGCAGUGGUGUGGUGCUCAUUUUUAAUCCAGACGUUCCAAGUCACUUGAAAGAAAUCGAGACCUGGCACUCGAUGUUCAUCUCCUCGCAGGGCUUGCAGGACAGCCAGUGUCUGCUCAUUGCACAUCACAAGCCCGGCAGUGCAAUAGAAGAAGGUCGACUGCCUUUAGCCUCACAGCUGAGCAGACUUCCACUUAUUCAUUCUGAAAUGGAGGAGGAGCCCGAGGACCUGAGGCGAGCUUUUUGCAGCUACCUGGGGAAAGUUGUAAAUACACUUUCGGAAUGUCGGGAGCGGGAGGAGAUGUCCAUCAUCACCUAGCAACAAAAUCUCUUAAAAAUUUGCAGUCCGCCAGCUGGUGCUGAAGUCUGCCCGGGAGGCUCAUGGCGGCCAGAUGGUGAUCGCACACAGACACAGACACACGCACACGGGUAGCACAUCCUCCAGCAAAGAUCUACCUCAGUCAACCCCGCGACACACGGCUUGCAUUUCAAAGGCGGAGGAAGCGCUUCGGUGUCGGAGUCUUUUUACCUGCUGCAAGAAGGCCACAAAUUUGCACAUGAAGUUGCCAAAAAUCCAACUGGGCAGCGGGUAGAGGGUGGCCGUGAAGGGAACGCAACACACCAGGAAGAUGAU
Hippocampus zosterae (dwarf seahorse) is the source of this 1210-nucleotide RNA transcript. It is a transcript of the gene named intraflagellar transport 22 homolog (Chlamydomonas), with no coding region annotated. NCBI's taxonomy places the organism in Eukaryota, Metazoa, Chordata, Actinopteri, Syngnathiformes, Syngnathidae. The record is from RefSeq and is a predicted model, not a curated record. The transcript has 7 exons.